Long non-coding RNA from Tachysurus fulvidraco (yellow catfish), 2040 nucleotides. RefSeq lists it as uncharacterized. The transcript has 3 exons. The record is from RefSeq and is a predicted model, not a curated record. Lineage: Eukaryota; Metazoa; Chordata; Actinopteri; Siluriformes; Bagridae.
UUGGAGUCAAAAAUGCGUUCAGUCCUCAGUGAGUGUAGCUGAAUGGAGCUGUGUACAGAGUUUAUUCUCUCUAUCAAAAAUCUCUGCUGGAAUUAUUAUUAUUAUUUAUUUAUUUAUUUAUUUAUUUUUUAACUCAUAGUGAAAUAAAUCUGUCCGUCGCUCCGACACGUGCAGGAACAGAAAGGACCGACAGCUGUACCGGGAACACAAGCUAGCCUUAGGUCAACUGUCUGACCAGCAAGUGCGAGAUUUCAUAAAGGAGCACAGGGCCACAAGGAAAGCCGCAAAAAAACCCAAAUGAUUCACGUAGGCGAACAAAUGCAAGUCAUAUUUAAUCACUACCUCAGAAACUGACUACAGAACCACCUCUGGGAGUCGUCUAAUCAAGUCAAGCCUUCUAAAUCAAAGCGGAUAAAAGGGACCACAAAUACUCCUGACCUUAGAGGGCCAUGAAACAACAAUGACACAACAACAAGGCAAAAGUCUGGUGUAAACGUCUGAAGAUCGCAAGCGUGUCAGCCAUCUGUAGCCCAUGAGAGGGUAGGAGGGACAUCCACACUCAGCCUUGUCAAUCAGAGCUGCACUAACCAAUCGUGAGCAUGUGUGGGCUCAUGUAUGCAGAAGAGGGUCGAUGGCACUUUCUUCCGCACUGUGACACAGCGUGAGCAUCAGGUCAAAAACACAGAGGCUGAAUAGACAACAGACGGAAAUAAACAAGCAGUGACACGUUUUCUAUUGGCUCAAAAAAAAAACUAUUUCCCUUUCGGUGCGCUUUCCUACAAGCGACCUGGACCAGCUGAGAUGAUGAGUUCAGAUAAAAGCGACAGCGGUCGAGACGAGACGAGAUUCCUGUUCUCUGACUUGUUGACAUGCUUUUCCAUUCAGCUCGGGUGUAAAGAGUGUUAUUCGUGUUGGCGUCGGCUAAAACAAACAUACAAAACAAAAACUUGAUGAGGCUAAUUUAAAUAUCCGACGAAGGAAGGGAAUCUGACAGGACAGAUACAUGGAUAUUCAAAUCACCACACCCAUCACCUGCAGUUGGAGUGAAAUAAAUCAUCUGGGUUUUCUUCCAACCCAUUAACAUACCAGUCAAUGGACAGGAUACAAUAAACUGACUAUUGCGCACAAACACAAGUAUUCAGGGUGUAUUCCUGACCCGGACUCGGUGUUCCUGGGAUUAUGUUCCUGACUCCGGAUCCGGAGUUCUCAGGUAAACCUCAGAAACAAGCGACAUCCUGAUCUGGAUGAAGUGCUUUCCUGUGAUGAAUGAAUGAAUGAAUGAAUAAAUGAAUGAAUGAAUAAAUGAAUGAACGUUUAUAAAGGGACCACACCGCCCCCUAGUGUCUGAGCUUUCAGCUGCAUGUUGCGCAACAGCACAUUUCAUUAGGCAUUCUGUGAUGAAGUCGAAUCCGAGAUUCAGACGAACAUCAGAUGCUUUCCUUGUGCUGAUCCUCACUGUUUUUACAGGUUUCUUAUACAGAUCAGUGAAAUUGAGCUUUCACUCCUCUCUCACUAUCUAGUGAUGGAUCAGUGGUUAAAGCCUCCGGGUUACUGAAGAUUUGCUCCAGGGGCGGCGUAUCCCGGGCGACCCCAUGACCUUUGACCCCAGUUACAUGACAAGCUGGGACAUGCAAAAGAAAAUGGAAAGUCGCUGUGCUGUAAUACGGACAAAAGGGCUUUCCUUCUUACUCGCACAGACAAACACGUGAUUAAAGACACGAAAGAUUUUGUAUGAGACAUUAUAUAUGCUGCAAUUUUUGUUUCAAUUAAAUGAUAUUUCAUUAAAGUGUUUUUUGGCGUCACGUAUCACGAUAUUGAUCUAAUGACCGUCCCGCUGCGCAGCCCUAAUGAUGUUCCGAACAAACAUCAAGCAAAUAAAUCCACUUAAAUAAACAAAUGAAUUAUUUGAUUCAUUUUGCUUUGCUCAAACUCAAAAACUGCUGUCAGUAAAUUUGACAAAGUUGCUCUUGGGGCUUCUGGGUUAUAAAUACGACAGUGAUGAGUCUCGAUACGUUUCACUCACCGGAGAAAUUCGCUCGU